RNAcentral lists this ribosomal RNA (1372 nucleotides) under uncultured bacterium. RNAcentral describes it as "bacterial SSU rRNA". It matches the Rfam family "Bacterial small subunit ribosomal RNA", at positions 28 to 1381 of the family's 1533-position model. The record is from RNAcentral.
GAUGAACGCUGGCGGCGUGCCUAAUACAUGCAAGUCGAGCGAACGGACGAGAAGCUUGCUUCUCUGAUGUUAGCGGCGGACGGGUGAGUAACACGUGGAUAACCUACCUAUAAGACUGGGAUAACUUCGGGAAACCGGAGCUAAUACCGGAUAAUAUUUUGAACCGCAUGGUUCAAAAGUGAAAGACGGUCUUGCUGUCACUUAUAGAUGGAUCCGCGCUGCAUUAGCUAGUUGGUAAGGUAACGGCUUACCAAGGCAACGAUGCAUAGCCGACCUGAGAGGGUGAUCGGCCACACUGGAACUGAGACACGGUCCAGACUCCUACGGGAGGCAGCAGUAGGGAAUCUUCCGCAAUGGGCGAAAGCCUGACGGAGCAACGCCGCGUGAGUGAUGAAGGUCUUCGGAUCGUAAAACUCUGUUAUUAGGGAAGAACAUAUGUGUAAGUAACUGUGCAUAUCUUGACGGUACCUAAUCAGAAAGCCACGGCUAACUACGUGCCAGCAGCCGCGGUAAUACGUAGGUGGCAAGCGUUAUCCGGAAUUAUUGGGCGUAAAGCGCGCGUAGGCGGUUUUUUAAGUCUGAUGUGAAAGCCCACGGCUCAACCGUGGAGGGUCAUUGGAAACUGGAAAACUUGAGUGCAGAAGAGGAAAGUGGAAUUCCAUGUGUAGCGGUGAAAUGCGCAGAGAUAUGGAGGAACACCAGUGGCGAAGGCGACUUUCUGGUCUGUAACUGACGCCGAUGUGCGAAAGCGUGGGGAUCAAACAGGAUUAGAUACCCUGGUAGUCCACGCCGUAAACGAUGAGUGCUAAGUGUUAGGGGGUUUCCGCCCCUUAGUGCUGCAGCUAACGCAUUAAGCACUCCGCCUGGGGAGUACGACCGCAAGGUUGAAACUCAAAGGAAUUGACGGGGACCCGCACAAGCGGUGGAGCAUGUGGUUUAAUUCGAAGCAACGCGAAGAACCUUACCAAAUCUUGACAUCCUUUGACAACUCUAGAGAUAGAGCUUUCCCCUUCGGGGGACAAAGUGACAGGUGGUGCAUGGUUGUCGUCAGCUCGUGUCGUGAGAUGUUGGGUUAAGUCCCGCAACGAGCGCAACCCUUAAGCUUAGUUGCCAUCAUUAAGUUGGGCACUCUAAGUUGACUGCCGGUGACAAACCGGAGGAAGGUGGGGAUGACGUCAAAUCAUCAUGCCCCUUAUGAUUUGGGCUACACACGUGCUACAAUGGACAAUACAAAGGGCAGCGAAACCGCGAGGUCAAGCAAAUCCCAUAAAGUUGUUCUCAGUUCGGAUUGUAGUCUGCAACUCGACUACAUGAAGCUGGAAUCGCUAGUAAUCGUAGAUCAGCAUGCUACGGUGAAUACGUUCCCGGGUCU